RNAcentral lists this ribosomal RNA (115 nucleotides) under uncultured bacterium. RNAcentral describes it as "partial 16S ribosomal RNA". It matches the Rfam family "Bacterial small subunit ribosomal RNA", at positions 1360 to 1482 of the family's 1533-position model. The record is from RNAcentral.
CGGUGAAUACGUUCCCGGACCUUGCACACACCGCCCCGUCAAGCCAUGGAAGCUGGGUGUACCUAAAGUCGGUAACCGCAAGGAGCCGCCUAGGGUAAAACUAGUAACUGGGGCU